RNAcentral lists this ribosomal RNA (253 nucleotides) under uncultured bacterium. RNAcentral's name for it is "partial 16S ribosomal RNA". It matches the Rfam family "Bacterial small subunit ribosomal RNA", at positions 524 to 776 of the family's 1533-position model. The record is from RNAcentral.
UACGGAGGAUCCGAGCGUUAUCCGGAUUUAUUGGGUUUAAAGGGAGCGUAGGUGGAUUGUUAAGUCAGUUGUGAAAGUUUGCGGCUCGACCGUAAAAUUGCAGUUGAAACUGGCAGUCUUGAGUACAGUAGAGGUGGGCGGAAUUCGUGGUGUAGCGGUGAAAUGCUUAGAUAUCACGAAGAACUCCGAUUGCGAAGGCAGCUCACUGGACUGCAACUGACACUGAGGCUCGAAAGUGUGGGUAUCAAACAGG